Molecule: transfer RNA, 85 nt
Filed under: Megasphaera cerevisiae
Lineage: Bacteria; Bacillati; Bacillota; Negativicutes; Veillonellales; Veillonellaceae
Also listed under: 1 other name
Description: tRNA-Leu
Rfam family: tRNA
About the family: Transfer RNA (tRNA) molecules are approximately 80 nucleotides in length. Their secondary structure includes four short double-helical elements and three loops (D, anti-codon, and T loops). Further hydrogen bonds mediate the characteristic L-shaped molecular structure. tRNAs have two regions of fundamental functional importance: the anti-codon, which is responsible for specific mRNA codon recognition, and the 3' end, to which the tRNAs corresponding amino acid is attached (by aminoacyl-tRNA synthetases). tRNAs cope with the degeneracy of the genetic code in two manners: having more than one tRNA (with a specific anti-codon) for a particular amino acid; and 'wobble' base-pairing, i.e. permitting non-standard base-pairing at the 3rd anti-codon position.
Source: RNAcentral
GCGGUUGUGGCGGAAUGGCAGACGCGCUGUCUUCAGGCGGCAGUGAUUAAUUAUCGUGCGGGUUCAACUCCCGCCAACCGCACCA